Molecule: ribosomal RNA, 700 nt
Filed under: Escherichia coli
Lineage: Bacteria; Pseudomonadati; Pseudomonadota; Gammaproteobacteria; Enterobacterales; Enterobacteriaceae
Description: partial 23S ribosomal RNA
Rfam family: Bacterial large subunit ribosomal RNA
Source: RNAcentral
AUGGAGCCGACCUUGAAAUACCACCCUUUAAUGUUUGAUGUUCUAACGUUGACCCGUAAUCCGGGUUGCGGACAGUGUCUGGUGGGUAGUUUGACUGGGGCGGUCUCCUCCUAAAGAGUAACGGAGGAGCACGAAGGUUGGCUAAUCCUGGUCGGACAUCAGGAGGUUAGUGCAAUGGCAUAAGCCAGCUUGACUGCGAGCGUGACGGCGCGAGCAGGUGCGAAAGCAGGUCAUAGUGAUCCGGUGGUUCUGAAUGGAAGGGCCAUCGCUCAACGGAUAAAAGGUACUCCGGGGAUAACAGGCUGAUACCGCCCAAGAGUUCAUAUCGACGGCGGUGUUUGGCACCUCGAUGUCGGCUCAUCACAUCCUGGGGCUGAAGUAGGUCCCAAGGGUAUGGCUGUUCGCCAUUUAAAGUGGUACGCGAGCUGGGUUUAGAACGUCGUGAGACAGUUCGGUCCCUAUCUGCCGUGGGCGCUGGAGAACUGAGGGGGGCUGCUCCUAGUACGAGAGGACCGGAGUGGACGCAUCACUGGUGUUCGGGUUGUCAUGCCAAUGGCACUGCCCGGUAGCUAAAUGCGGAAGAGAUAAGUGCUGAAAGCAUCUAAGCACGAAACUUGCCCCGAGAUGAGUUCUCCCUGACCCUUUAAGGGUCCUGAAGGAACGUUGAAGACGACGACGUUGAUAGGCCGGGUGUGUAAGC